ACACUAAGUAUUACUUGCCGUUAAGUAGCUGAAAAUUACUACUCCAUCGAAACAUCAAAGCCACAAAAUUGCCAAAGGAUGGUAUGGUUGCACCAACGGUUAGCCUGCAGUAAAAUUCAAAAUUGUAGCUGGCACUUCUUCGAUUACGCCUGUAAUGUAAGGAAAAUACAAAUGGAGCUAACCAUUUCUUUCUAGCUUUAUUUGACAAUCCCUCUCUCCAAAGGCUAUCCUUGUCAAGUAAUUAAAUCCCACUAAAUAUUGUUAAUUAGUUAUGGGCCAUUUAUCAUUUUCUUGUACUUCACGAACAUGCUAUUGAUGAUGCAUGCAUGUUAUAUAUCGAUAAUUUCAACAUAUACGAUUCUCAAAC
RNAcentral lists this long non-coding RNA (367 nucleotides) under Phoenix dactylifera (date palm). Its description in RNAcentral is "long non-coding RNA (PDAC_LNC000898)". The record is from RNAcentral. Lineage: Eukaryota; Viridiplantae; Streptophyta; Magnoliopsida; Arecales; Arecaceae.